This 887-nucleotide ribosomal RNA is filed under the name uncultured organism. Its description in RNAcentral is "bacterial SSU rRNA". It matches the Rfam family "Bacterial small subunit ribosomal RNA", at positions 497 to 1385 of the family's 1533-position model. The record is from RNAcentral.
CUAACUGCGUGCCAGAAGCGUCGGUAAGACGUGGGCCCCGAGCGUUAUCCGGUGUUACUGGGCGUAAAGAGUCGUGUAGGCGGUUCGAAAAGUUACCUUUUAAAUCCCAAUGCUCAACAUUGGAACUGAAGGUAAUACUCUCGAACUAGAGUUUUCUACAGGGUGAAUGGAACUGUGGGAGGAGUAGUGAAAUGCGUUGAUCCCCGCGGGAACACCAGUGGCGAAGGCGGUUCACUGGUAGAAGACUGACGCUGAGACACGAAAGCUAGGGUAUCGAAGCAGAUUAGAGACCUGCGUAGUCCUAGCCGUAAACGCAUGCUUGCUAGCUGCAUUUCCGCCCCUUCGGGGGUUAGGUGUGGCGAAGGUAACCCGUUAAGCAAGCCGCCUGGGGAUUACGGUCGCAAGACUAAAACUCAAAGGAAUUGGCGGGGAGGCACACAACCAGUGGAACAUGUGGUUUAAUUCGAAACAAACCGAAGAACCUCACCUGGGUUUGACAUGUAGCUGCUCAUCCUAUGAAAAUAGGACUCCUUCGAGGGUGCUACACAGGUGCUGCAUGGCUGUCGUCAGUUCGUUCCGUGAGGAGUGCCCUUAAGUGGGACAACGAACGCAACCCCCAUCGUAUGUUAUAUCUGUCAUACGAAACUGCCUUGCCGUUGGCGAGGAGGAAGGAGGGGCAGACGUCAAGUCUGCAUGGUCCUUAUGCCCAGGGCUACACACAUGUUACAAUGAGAAGGAACAAUGAGCAUUGCGAACUCGCGAGGGUAAGCAAAUCUCAGAAAUCUUCUCUCAGUGGGGAUUGGAGUCUGCAAUUCGACUCCAUGAACGCGGAAUUGGUAGUAAUCGCGGGUCAGCUAUACCGCGGUGAUACGUUCUUGCCUCUUGCA